AUUACCCAUCGUGAUGUGGUAUUGGCAGUCAUAAUUGAUUGAUUGCAUAGGGCAAUAUUUUAUUGCCCUUUAAUUUUA
This is a non-coding RNA of Yokenella regensburgei ATCC 43003, 78 nucleotides long. The record is from Rfam. Lineage: Bacteria; Pseudomonadati; Pseudomonadota; Gammaproteobacteria; Enterobacterales; Enterobacteriaceae.